RNAcentral lists this ribosomal RNA (1071 nucleotides) under Paenibacillus sp. 7523-1. Its description in RNAcentral is "bacterial LSU rRNA". It matches the Rfam family "Bacterial large subunit ribosomal RNA", at positions 1224 to 2290 of the family's 2925-position model. Lineage: Bacteria; Bacillati; Bacillota; Bacilli; Caryophanales; Paenibacillaceae. The record is from RNAcentral.
AGGGGUAGGGGAGCGUUGUAUAAGGGUUGAAGGUGUACCGUAAGGAGCGCUGGACAUUAUACAAGUGAGAAUGCCGGUAUGAGUAACGAAAAGAUCAGUGAGAAUCUGAUCCGCCGAAAGCCUAAGGGUUCCUGAGGAAGGCUCGUCCGCUCAGGGUAAGUCGGGACCUAAGGCGAGGCCGAAAGGCGUAGUCGAAGGACAACAGGUCGAAAUUCCUGUACCACCGUAAAUCGUUACGAGCGAUGGGGGGACGCAGUAGGGUAGUGACGCAGGCUGAUGGAUGCCUGUCCAAGCAGUAAGGCUGAUGUGUAGGCAAAUCCGCACAUCUAAGGCUGAGCUGUGAUGGGGAGUGAAAAUUACAGUAGCGAAGGUCAUGAUCUCACACUGCCAAGAAAAGCCUCUAGCCAGAUGAAGGUGCCCGUACCGCAAACCGACACAGGUAGGCGAGAAGAGAAUUCUAAGGCGCGCGGAAGAACUCUCGUUAAGGAACUCGGCAAAAUGACCCCGUAACUUCGGGAGAAGGGGUGCCCCGGUAGUGUGAAUAGCACGAGGGGGCCGCAGUGAAAAGGCCCAAGCGACUGUUUAGCAAAAACACAGGUCUGUGCGAAGCCGUAAGGCGAAGUAUACGGGCUGACGCCUGCCCGGUGCUGGAAGGUUAAGGGGAGCGGUUAGGAGUAAUCCGAAGCUGUGAACCGAAGCCCCAGUAAACGGCGGCCGUAACUAUAACGGUCCUAAGGUAGCGAAAUUCCUUGUCAGGUAAAUUCUGACCCGCACGAAUGGCGUAACGACUUGGGCGCUGUCUCAACGAGAGAUCCGGUGAAAUUUUAAUACCUGUGAAGAUGCAGGUUACCCGCGACAAGACGGAAAGACCCCAUGGAGCUUUACUGCAGCUUGAUAUUGAAUUUGGGUACGAUCUGUACAGGAUAGGUGGGAGCCUUUGAAGCAUGAGCGCCAGCUUGUGUGGAGGCACCGUUGGGAUACCACCCUGAUCGUAUCUAGGUUCUAACCUGGUGCCCUAAGCGGGUACGGGGACAGUGUCAGGUGGGCAGUUUGACUGGGGCGGUCGCCUCC